RNAcentral lists this transfer RNA (76 nucleotides) under Bacillus anthracis (anthrax bacterium). RNAcentral's name for it is "tRNA-Asn". It matches the Rfam family "tRNA". Rfam says of the family: Transfer RNA (tRNA) molecules are approximately 80 nucleotides in length. Lineage: Bacteria; Bacillati; Bacillota; Bacilli; Caryophanales; Bacillaceae. The record is from RNAcentral.
GGGCCUUUAGCUCAGCUGGUAGAGCGUACGGCUGUUAACCGUGAGGUCGAAGGUUCGAGUCCUUCUAGGCCCACCA